CAGAAUGCAACAGUUUCAAUAUUUUAAGAAUAAAAUAUUAAUGCUCAAUUAACCUAGAAUAAAACAUUAUUUAAUUAAUGCAGGAAAAAUUAAAUAAGGGUAAGAGACAAAACCGAGCAAUUCACACAAAAUUGCAAACGAAAGUUCCUCCGACAGCUGCUCCGGCGGUCGUCGAUUUUCCGGCUCAGUCCUCAAUCUCCGAGUCCUCGUCCAAGAUCCAAGUGGGGCCUCCAAACACUCACGGCAACCACACACACGCACACACACAGUGUAUUCCAACGAAAAACACGAAGAAAACGAAACCCAAAUUCAAACCCUAAUCUCACCGGUUUAUCCCUAAAGAAGUAAACUCGAAUUCAUUGAAAGAAUCGAGCUUUGCUUCUCAAAAAAGGUUCU
Molecule: long non-coding RNA, 396 nt
Filed under: Erythranthe guttata (spotted monkey flower)
Lineage: Eukaryota; Viridiplantae; Streptophyta; Magnoliopsida; Lamiales; Phrymaceae
Description: long non-coding RNA (EGUT_LNC002953)
Source: RNAcentral